GGACAGCCAGCUAUGUUAUGCAAACUGAUUUGUUCGAUUUAAUUGAGAUAUAUGAGCUGGAUGGUAUCAUGUUAUGUCUAUGCAUGCAUGUACUAUCUCAUCAUCAUGAUCAUUACAUGUAAGAAAGAGAGGAAAAGAAGAAGAGUAUACCCAAAGAGAUUGAGAGGGAGCUGGGGAUAGUGAGAGAAAGUGGUUGGUGGAUGUGGUGGUCCAAAACCAGUCUGCAUUGUGUUCAUCAUCACUCUCAUAUUGUUAAUUCUCCCUCCCCCUAACACUUUCAUUAAACAUCAAAAUCACUUUUAAGAUCAACACAAAAGCUAUAUCUAUGGUCCAUUAACAUCAGUUACCAACUAUAUAUAUAAUGUAAUUCCAAUACUUAAUUGGCCACACAAAUUUCUAACCAAUUAAAUCAACUUUGUAUAGAAAGUUAGACACUCUAACCAUAUAUUAACUUAUAGUUAUCCUUUUUCUUGAUCUAACUUGCAUAACAUUAUAAAGGCAUACAUACACAUACACACACAUUUUGAGAGAGAGAUGGGAUAUAUAUGUAUUAACCAUGGUUAGGAGUGGAGGGUUUGGAUCUUUGAAGACCAAGAGAGGCAAGGUUGCAAUUUGCUCUUCUUCCGUCGAUCACCGGAGUAGCGUCCACACAAGCCUUGCUCGCCGCAUCUGCCUCCUUGAAUGUCACCUGAUCACACAACUGUACUAAUUAGUUCCCCCUUUGAGGUCCAAGAAGAGUUGUUGCAUUUGUGUAUCUUUGGAGCUUGAAUCAGAUAAAUGGAAGGCAAAAAUAUGAACUUGGGAGCUUGGUGUGAAGCUGGUAGGAACAUGGAGAGCACCAAGGAGGAAUCAAGAGAAGCCAAAAUAUGAAGUACAGAGAAAAAGAGACUGGCAUUUAGGUCGAUGGGAAAAUAUCUAUAAAGAGAACUCAUAAAGAAAUGGAAGAAUCACUCGGGCAAGCAUGCAACAUAUAUUUUACAUGACAAGAUUUUUUGGUGAAAUAAUAUCAGCAUUAAUAAUCUUUUGGUCAAAGCACAGGAUAAAUAUAUUUUCACCUUCUUCAUACGUUUAAAUUGAAUAAAUCCCAAAAAGACAUUUUCUAA
This is a long non-coding RNA of Brassica napus (rape), 1103 nucleotides long. RefSeq lists it as uncharacterized. NCBI's taxonomy places the organism in Eukaryota, Viridiplantae, Streptophyta, Magnoliopsida, Brassicales, Brassicaceae. The transcript has 2 exons. The record is from RefSeq and is a predicted model, not a curated record.